GACCUUUGGGAUAGCAUUGAAAAUGUAAAUGAGGAAAAUACCUAAUAAAAAAAAAGAAUUUUUCCUCCUUGGUUGGGUUUAUUCCAAAAUAUUUUAUUUUCUUAAAGGCUAAAAUAUUUACUUGUAAGUCACCUUACCCUCCUCUGUUUUGAUUAUUUCAAGAAAUUACAUUUUCUUUUAUGAUGUUGUAAAUGUGAGUGUAUCGACAAUCUACGUUCACAGAUAUUUUUGUUGGUGUUAGAAAAGCUUUGGAUUUGUGUAAUUUCAUUCAAAUAAAAAAUAAAAAAAGAUAUUUUAUUUAUUUAAAUUUCAAAUGUUAGCCCCUUUCCUCCUUUUCCCUCUGAACUCCCCCCUUCCCAUUCCCCCCCCCUGCCCUGCUCACCAACCGACCCACUUCCAUUUCCCUGUCCUCCAUUCCCCUACAAUGGAGCAUCAAGCCUUCAUAGGACUAAAGGUCUCUUCUCUCAUUGAUGUUUGACAAAGCUGUCCUCUGUUACAUAUGCAGCUGGAGCCAUGGUUCCCUCCGGGUGUACUUUUUGUUUGGUGGAUCAGUUCCCGGGAGUUCUGGGGAUACUGGUUGGUUCAUAUUGUUGUUCCUCUUAUGCAGCUGCAAACCCCUUCUGCUCCUUGGUUACUUUCUCUAGCUCCUUCACUGGGGACCCUGUGCUCCAUCAAAUGAAUGGCUAUGAGCACACACUUCUGUAUCUGUCAGGCACUGGCAAAGCCUCUCAGGAGACAGCCAUAUCAGACUCCUUCCAGCAAGCAUUUGUUUACAUCCACAAUAGUGUCUGGGUUUAGUGACUGUAUAUGAGAUGGAUCCCCAGGUGGUGCAGUCUCUGGAUGGCCUUUCCUUCAGUCUCUGCUCCAUACUUUGUCUCUGUAUUUCCUCCGGUGAAUAUUUUGUUCUCCCUUCUGAGAAGGACAGAAGUAUACACACUUUUGUCUUCUUCUUCUUCUUCAUAUGGUCUAUAAUUUCUUUAAACACACAUACAUUUUUACUUCCCCUCUAUAUAUUUCUCAUGUGUAAUUUCUAUUGCUAAGAUUUCUAGUAAUAUGGGGGAUAAGUUCUCUAAAUAAAGUUACUUCUCAUUUUUUAGACCUUAUAUGUUAAAAAAAAUGUAUUGAUCUUAUACUUCAAAAAGCAGCUCAAUUUCAGUGAUAGAAUCAGAAAUUUGGCCUCCAAAGCCACUUGGGAACAAAUUCAAACUCUACUAGCAGUCUCUGGGACUCAAUUAAAUCACCUGAUUAUCCAUCACUUUCAUCUUGCUCAAAGUGGUCACAUAAGAACUAAUUUAUGCAUUUGGAAAAUGUGUUAUGAAUUUUGUUGUGAUUCUACAAAGCAUACAGGGAGCAUGAGGAUGUACAGAAAGAGAAAAAGUGAUUUAAAAAAUAAACUCAUAUUGCUUAUGAUAAAUGAUGAAAAUGAAAAGUGGAUGUUAGACAUAAAUAGGGAAGAGUGCUACAAAGAUUAAGCAAAUAAAUUAACUAAUUUAAAACAUCAAAUGGAGAAUGUCUGUCAGGUGUAUAAUAAGUGGCCAUUAUAUACGACUUUUUGUGUUCAUUUACAAGAUUUAACAUGAAAUCAUGGUGUUUAUCAUUAUGAAAUGUUAGUCAAAGCAGAAAAUCGUUGAUAUUAUUCAUCUGUCUUGUUUAACAUGAGUAGCUAAAGUUCAAAAAAGAUUAAACACUCAAUUUCAGAUUACAGUUUCUAUUUUCAUUCUUUAAUGUUUCUGUCUUAUCUUAUACAUUUUUAUGUUGACCAUUAAACCAUCAAUCCUGCAAUGCACAUUUGGAACCAGAUAACUCAUCUGAAUUUUGAUACAAAUAUUAAAGCUUAAUUUGAGCAGGAAUGAAAGCAGGAAUUCAGAGACUGAGCCAUUUUGAAGGGAAAUGUUAAGGGAAGAGUGCUAAAACUCCAAUAGGCUAGUAGACCAACAACACAAGGUUCUAGGACAGUGGAAAUUCCCUUCUUUGAGUAAAACAUAAUUUAUAUAAUGUAUCAGUUAAAACUCUAAAAGAUUGGGUAGCUAUUUGAGCAUAUAUUAGUCUUGCCCUUUUCAUGAUAAAUUUUCUCUAGUUUCAGUUGCAUGUGACCAAGUCUGUUCUGAAACCAUUAAGUUAAAAUUUCUGAAAGAAACUAUUUCAUGUCUCUUAAGCCACAGGCUAUAAACAAUUAGCAUGAUGAAAUCUGCCCUGAAAUUCAGUUUGCCAAAGCCAUGAUUCAUCUCUUUGUGCAACAUGUCCUUAGUGUAUAGGCUACACUCUUGGAUUUCAAAUCAACUGUGACAGUACUGUGGUGCAUGCAUUUAAGUAUUUUUCCUUAGGAAUAGCUCUGAGAGCAAGGCCAGUGAUGUUGGAAACAUGACUAUGUCAAGAAAAAAGUCUGUAUUUAUUUUAAGUGAAAAAGAUAAGAGUUCUCAAAUUAAUCAGAAAGAAAUGGCAUCCCUGUAUCAGUCCAGCCAGAGCAAAGUCAAACAGUUCUCUGAGGGGGCAGUGAAGAUAAUUAUAAGACAGACAGAAAAGAAUACUCAGAGACAAAGGACAAAAUUCUGGAGGCCUACCCAAUUAGUAUUGUAGCAGCCUCUAGUUUAAUUAUCUUAAGGUUUGUAUACUUUACAGCAGAGUGGGAAACAACCUCACAAGCUAGUAGAAACAAUGGCUGACAUACCUUCAAAAUCUGUACCCAUCUCGAGGCCUCCCAAUUCUUCCUUGUUGCUUCCUCCAAGAUUCACAAACAUCAGCCCCUUGCCUUGAUCUUCACAUGUAUCCCCUCAUAUUAGUCCAUGCUUCAGCAGACCAGGUACUCUGCCAGCAAGCCUUGACCUAACUUGCCUCUCUUUCUACCUAUCAGGCAGGUUUUCACACAAGUAG
RNAcentral lists this long non-coding RNA (2871 nucleotides) under Mus musculus (house mouse). RNAcentral describes it as "long non-coding RNA chr2:97168218-97171089". The record is from RNAcentral. Lineage: Eukaryota; Metazoa; Chordata; Mammalia; Rodentia; Muridae.